Molecule: long non-coding RNA, 440 nt
Organism: Arvicola amphibius (Eurasian water vole)
Lineage: Eukaryota; Metazoa; Chordata; Mammalia; Rodentia; Cricetidae
Exons: 3
Source: RefSeq, a predicted model, not a curated record
CGCCUAGAACCGGAAGAUGAAAAAGCAGAAGGCAGAAACCUCAUGGCCAUCUGCUCUCUCAGUUCUCUCGUCUCAGUCGAUGGCUACCUGCACCUUUUGAAAAUGACAUGUUUGCAUCUUCUUCAAAGAAAAUUGUUUUCAAACCGAUAAAUUUAACAUAACUGUCUCCAUCAUUCAAAUGCUUCAUUUGAACAUCAAACCAGCAGGGCAGAAAAGAAACAAAGCAAGAAAACAUGGUUUUGUCUUCUCUCAGUUCUGCCACUCUCGCUGCUGGUAACUGUUUCUACUGCAGUUGUGACUAAGGUGUGAACUUCACAAAUAAGAAUGAAAUCAACAACAGGGAGAAACUAAAGGAAGUAUAAAAGACUAAAGUGAAUGUGGUAGAGCUUCCAGAAGUCAGAGGAAUUAAACAUGGGCAUCUUUCCAAAUAACACACUUGU